UACGGAGGGUGCGAGCGUUGUUCGGAAUCACUGGGCGUAAAGGGCGUGUAGGCGGUCCGCUAAGUCUGAUGUGAAAGCCCGGGGCUCACCCCCGGAAGUGCAUUGGAAACUGGCGAACUCGAGUCCCGGAGAGGAGAGUGGAAUUCCUGGUGUAGCGGUGAAACGCGUAGAUAUCAGGAGGAACACCGGUGGCGAAGGCGGCUCUCUGGACGGUGACUGACGCUGAGACGCGAAAGCGUGGGGAGCAAACAGG
This 253-nucleotide ribosomal RNA is filed under the name uncultured bacterium. RNAcentral describes it as "partial 16S ribosomal RNA". It matches the Rfam family "Bacterial small subunit ribosomal RNA", at positions 524 to 776 of the family's 1533-position model. The record is from RNAcentral.